This 245-nucleotide ribosomal RNA is filed under the name uncultured Syntrophobotulus sp. Its description in RNAcentral is "partial 16S ribosomal RNA". It matches the Rfam family "Bacterial small subunit ribosomal RNA", at positions 524 to 769 of the family's 1533-position model. The record is from RNAcentral. Lineage: Bacteria; Bacillati; Bacillota; Clostridia; Eubacteriales; Desulfitobacteriaceae.
UACGUAGGGGGCGAGCGUUGUCCGGAAUCAUUGGGCGUAAAGGGCGCGUAGGCGGCUGUAUAAGUCUGAUGUGAAAGUGCGGGGCUUAACCCCGUAAAGCAUUGGAAACUGUACGGCUUGAGGACAGGAGAGGAAAGUGGAAUUCCUAGUGUAGCGGUGAAAUGCGUAGAUAUUAGGAGGAACACCAGUGGCGAAGGCGACUUUCUGGACUGUAACUGACGCUGAGGCGCGAAAGCGUGGGGAGC